This 95-nucleotide microRNA precursor is filed under the name Sus scrofa (pig). Its description in RNAcentral is "mir-346 microRNA precursor family". It matches the Rfam family "mir-346 microRNA precursor family". The record is from Rfam by way of RNAcentral. Lineage: Eukaryota; Metazoa; Chordata; Mammalia; Artiodactyla; Suidae.
GGUCUCUGUGUUGGGCGUCUGUCUGCCCGCAUGCCUGCCUCUCUGUGGCUCUGAAGGAGGCAGGGGCUGGGCCUGCAGCUGCCUGGACAGAGCGG